GACGAACGCUGGCGGCGUGCUUAACACAUGCCAGUCGAACGGAAAGGCCUCUUUCGGGGGGUACUCGAGUGGCGAAUGGGUGAGUAACACGUGAGUAACCUGCCCUUGACUUUGGGAUAACUUCAGGAAACUGGGGCUAAUACCGGAUAGGAGCUCCUGCUGCAUGGUGGGGGUUGGAAAGUUUCGGCGGUUGGGGAUGGACUCGCGGCUUAUCAGCUUGUUGGUGGGGUAGUGGCUUACCAAGGCUUUGACGGGUAGCCGGCCUGAGAGGGUGACCGGCCACAUUGGGACUGAGAUACGGCCCAGACUCCUACGGGAGGCAGCAGUGGGGAAUAUUGCACAAUGGGUGGAAGCCUGAUGCAGCAACGCCGUGUGCGGGAUGACGGCCUUCGGGUUGUAAACCGCUUUCGCUCAUGACGAAGCUUUGUGUGACGGUAGUGGGUAAAGAAGCACCGGCUAACUACGUG
RNAcentral lists this ribosomal RNA (467 nucleotides) under uncultured bacterium. RNAcentral's name for it is "partial 16S ribosomal RNA". It matches the Rfam family "Bacterial small subunit ribosomal RNA", at positions 28 to 507 of the family's 1533-position model. The record is from RNAcentral.